AUACACAAGAAAAAUAAAUGAUAAAUGAAGGAAAUGCCUUUGUCUUAUUGUUAUGAGCCUCAUUUAAAGAGAGAUCAGUAAAUUUAUCCCUAUUUGUUCUGGAGUAAACAAUCAAGUUUCAAGAGAGAUCAGUAAAUUUAUCGACAAAUAUGAUGUCACUCUCGAUGUCUGCUCAUCAUCCGUUGGUUCACAAGCACAGGUUCUUAAUCAAUUGGUAGGCCUAGAUCUCCAGCUCUCCUAUACUUGUUUGUUUCUUUAUCUUUAGGAAACUCUUGUUUUCCUCUUCUUUUACUGUGUUAAUCAGUCUUGGCUCCAUCUAUAUCAAUCUUCAUUUACAGCAA
Molecule: non-coding RNA, 341 nt
Organism: Camellia sinensis
Lineage: Eukaryota; Viridiplantae; Streptophyta; Magnoliopsida; Ericales; Theaceae
Source: RefSeq, a predicted model, not a curated record